CGGGAUUGUUGGGGUGGGUGCUGUCCUCAGGUUCCAAGGGGCGUAGGCUCGCGAGCCUUUCCGGCAAGCGGUGAUGAGAUGAGAGCGGGAUUCAGUCCCGGGCGCGAUGGCGCGCCUGCAGUCCAGCCCCGGGGAGGCCGAGGCGGGCGGAUCUGAAGCUGAGGCCAGCCUGGUCUGCAUAGCGAGUUUCAGGCCAGUCAACACUGCCUGAAGACCUUUGAUGGAGCCAUGGUGCAGAAACAUUGCCAAAGGGAAGUCUUGGGGAAGGAACCAGGUGGUGGUGGCACUUGGGAGGCAG
Long non-coding RNA from Onychomys torridus (southern grasshopper mouse), 298 nucleotides. RefSeq lists it as uncharacterized. NCBI's taxonomy places the organism in Eukaryota, Metazoa, Chordata, Mammalia, Rodentia, Cricetidae. The record is from RefSeq and is a predicted model, not a curated record. The transcript has 3 exons.